GGUGGGGUUCCCGAGCGGCCAAAGGGAGCAGACBBBCUUCGAAGGUUCGAAUCCUUCCCCCACCACCA
RNAcentral lists this transfer RNA (68 nucleotides) under Salmonella enterica subsp. enterica serovar Paratyphi A. RNAcentral describes it as "tRNA-OTHER". The record is from RNAcentral. Lineage: Bacteria; Pseudomonadati; Pseudomonadota; Gammaproteobacteria; Enterobacterales; Enterobacteriaceae.